AUUGAACGCUGGCGGCAUGCCUUACACAUGCAAGUCGAACGGCAGCACGGGAGCAAUCCUGGUGGCGAGUGGCGAACGGGUGAGUAAUAUAUCGGAACGUGCCCAGUAGUGGGGGAUAGCCCGGCGAAAGCCGGAUUAAUACCGCAUACGACCUGUGGGUGAAAGCGGGGGAUCGCAAGACCUCGCGCUAUUGGAGCGGCCGAUAUCAGAUUAGCUAGUUGGUGGGGUAAAGGCCUACCAAGGCGACGAUCUGUAGCUGGUCUGAGAGGACGACCAGCCACACUGGGACUGAGACACGGCCCAGACUCCUACGGAGGCAGCAUGGGAAUUUUGGACAAUGGGGCAACCCUGAUCCAGCAAUGCCGCGUGAGUGAAGAAGGCCUCGG
RNAcentral lists this ribosomal RNA (386 nucleotides) under uncultured bacterium. Its description in RNAcentral is "bacterial SSU rRNA". It matches the Rfam family "Bacterial small subunit ribosomal RNA", at positions 29 to 420 of the family's 1533-position model. The record is from RNAcentral.